AUGAAGACCGGCACCGCCAAGCCCGUCGGCGAGCACCGGACAGCGGUGUUGCAGGUGACGGAAAUCGUGUCGUCGGACAUGGACGAGGUGGGCCUAUUUCCCAAACACGGCUGGUUCGACGUCAAGGUCUCCGACUCCUCCCACUACAUCUACACCACGCUGCUCCCGGCGCAGGCCGACCUCGUCCUGGCCAACAAGGUCAGCCUCGGCCAGUUCCUGCACAUCGACCGCCUCAACCCGGGCUCCCCCUUCCCCAUCCUCGUCGGCGUCAGGCCCAUCCCCGGUCACCACCCGCUCGUCCGCGGCACCCCCGAGCCCCCCAAGGAGCCCGCUGCGCUCAAGAGGGUCAUCAGGCCGAUCGCUCUAAGCUUCAAGGAGAGGACGCCCGUCAAGGAGUGGCCCUCGCAGGCGCACAGCUCGGCCUCCAUCAGGAAGAGCACCAGCUUCAUGCCCAGGUUCACCCACAAACGGACAUUCGUCGCCGACCGGGGCGACCCUCCUCGGCCGCCGUGCAAGAUCCCAAAACGAGCCCCUUCCGACAUGAGGCCCAGGGUGGAGGCGCCCUUCUCGCCGGUCUCGACGACUACGUCGGCAAUACCGCCACAUCCUCCAAGAGGGCCCCCUCGUUGGCCGCUCGGUGCCGGUGCCAGGGAAGCUCAGCUCCCUCGGCGAAGAGAAGCCAUGGAGCAGAGGGAGCAGGUGCAGAAGGUGGCGCUGUGCAGUGUGUCAGCGCUGAGGAAGAAGAUCGUUACUGAGGUGCAGCACCGUGACCUUGCAACAACAGCCCACGUGGAGGCGACCCGGCUUGCAUUCCCGAUCCACAACGGUUACGGGCAGACGCUGCUCCUACUGGAGGAUUCUCCAAUCGAUUCCAGGCUUGGCAGUAGCACCUUUAUGAAUGUAACUCUCAACUGCUUGAAUGUGUCGCUGGUGGCAGCCUCUUCUCGACUGCUCCUGCAAGGAUGUCCUGCUGAACCCCCAGACUCCUUGCUGGGCCCACCACCUUCAUGCCUUAUAAAAUCAAUCAUAGGACAUAUGAAGGCAAUUCAGGUGGUUCAUGUCCGGCACGACUUGAUGUCGUGCUCAAGUAGUUCUUCUGAUCUGAGUCUGCACGGGGUGGUUGCCACACCCCACCUAUCCCCCAAAACGUGCUUCUCUCGCACGCGCCACUGCCACUCGGCAUCUCACAAAUACAACAGCAGGAGGCCGGGGCUUCCUUGCCGCUGGUUCCCCGUCCUCCGCGACCAACAACACCACAAUAGCCAGGCCGUCGAGCUGCGCUACACCCGGUGCAUCAGCACAGCAGCCCGCUGUCCGUCGCGGCGUUCGGGUCGACCAGGGGCGGCGGCGCGGCCGACCAUGACCUGCGGCGACGGGGAAUUCAACCAAACUGGUGGUCCUGGACUCAGGGGAAAGGAGGGGAGGCGCUGGGGAGCUAGAGUCUUGAGAGAGGAAGGUGCACCCGUGGUGGUCAUCAGUGAGGGUGGCGGCGCGCUGGAGGGUGGAGGUCGAGAUGGGAUCGGGAGAGAAAACACCAAGCUCCUAGUCCUCCACAUGCGUAUCGGGCAGGCCGAGCCCGUGCAUUGCAAUGUGAGACAACAAUAA
This 1605-nucleotide ribosomal RNA is filed under the name Triticum aestivum (bread wheat). RNAcentral's name for it is "partial small subunit ribosomal RNA". The record is from RNAcentral. Lineage: Eukaryota; Viridiplantae; Streptophyta; Magnoliopsida; Poales; Poaceae.